RNAcentral lists this ribosomal RNA (468 nucleotides) under uncultured bacterium. RNAcentral's name for it is "partial 16S ribosomal RNA". It matches the Rfam family "Bacterial small subunit ribosomal RNA", at positions 28 to 507 of the family's 1533-position model. The record is from RNAcentral.
GACGAACGCUGGCGGCGUGCUUAACACAUGCAAGUCGAACGGAAAGGCCCUGCUCUUGUGGGGUGCUCGAGUGGCGCACGGGUGAGUAACACGCGAGUAACCUGUCCUUGACUUUGGGAUAACUUUUGGAAACUGGGGCUCAAAUCGGAUAGAAGCUCCUGCAGCACGGUGGGGGUUGGAGAGUUUCGGCGGUUGGGGAUGGACUCGCUGCUUCUCAGCUUGUUGGUGGGGUAGUGGCUUACCAAGGCUUUGACGGGUAGCCGGCCUGAGAGGGUGACCGGCCACAGUGGGACUGAGGUACGGCCCAGACUCCUACGGUAGGCAGCAGGGGGGAAUAUUGCACAAUGGGCGGAAGCCUGAUGCAGCAACGCCGCGUGCGGGAUGACGGCCUUCGGGGUGUAAACCGCUUUCGCCUGUGACGAAGCGUGAGUGACGGUAAUGGAUAAAGAAGCACCGGCUAACUACGUG